This 349-nucleotide ribosomal RNA is filed under the name uncultured bacterium. RNAcentral describes it as "bacterial SSU rRNA". It matches the Rfam family "Bacterial small subunit ribosomal RNA", at positions 8 to 354 of the family's 1533-position model. The record is from RNAcentral.
AGAGUUUGAUCAUGGCUCAGAUUGAACGCUGGCGGCAGGCCUAACACAUGCAAGUCGAGCGGUAGCACAGGAGAGCUUGCUCUCUGGGUGACAGCUGCGGACGGGUGAGUAAUGUCUGGGAAACUGCCUGAUGGAGGUGGAUAACUACUGGAAACGGUAGCUAAUACCGCAUAACGUCUUCGGACCAAAGUGGGGGACCUUCGGGCCUCACGCCAUCAGAUGUGCCCAGAUGGGAUUAGCUAGUAGGUGGGGUAAUGGCUCACCUAGGCGACGAUCCCUAGCUGGUCUGAGAGGAUGACCAGCCACACUGGAACUGAGACACGGUCCAGACUCCUACGGGACGCAGCAG